RNAcentral lists this small nucleolar RNA (108 nucleotides) under Hordeum vulgare. RNAcentral's name for it is "Plant small nucleolar RNA U3". It matches the Rfam family "Plant small nucleolar RNA U3", at positions 1 to 107 of the family's 221-position model. Rfam says of the family: Small nucleolar RNAs (snoRNAs) are involved in the processing and modification of rRNA in the nucleolus. There are two main classes of snoRNAs: the box C/D class, and the box H/ACA class. U3 snoRNA is a member of the box C/D class. Lineage: Eukaryota; Viridiplantae; Streptophyta; Magnoliopsida; Poales; Poaceae. The record is from RNAcentral.
ACGACCUUACUUGAACAGGAUCUGUUCUAUAGGCUCGUACCGCUGCAAUCCUUUACCAAUAAGGAGGCAAACACUUCAGUCUAGUUGAUGCAUUCUGACCUCUAGGCC